Molecule: ribosomal RNA, 450 nt
Filed under: Bacillus sp. (in: firmicutes)
Lineage: Bacteria; Bacillati; Bacillota; Bacilli; Caryophanales; Bacillaceae
Description: bacterial SSU rRNA
Rfam family: Bacterial small subunit ribosomal RNA
Source: RNAcentral
GGUCUUGACAUCCUCUGACAACCCUAGAGAUAGGGCUUUCCCCUUCGGGGGACAGAGUGACAGGUGGUGCAUGGUUGUCGUCAGCUCGUGUCGUGAGAUGUUGGGUUAAGUCCCGCAACGAGCGCAACCCUUGAUCUUAGUUGCCAGCAUUCAGUUGGGCACUCUAAGAUGACUGCCGGUGACAAACCGGAGGAAGGUGGGGAUGACGUCAAAUCAUCAUGCCCCUUAUGACCUGGGCUACACACGUGCUACAAUGGACGGUACAAAGGGCAGCGAGACCGCGAGGUUUAGCCAAUCCCAUAAAACCGUUCUCAGUUCGGAUUGUAGGCUGCAACUCGCCUACAUGAAGCUGGAAUCGCUAGUAAUCGCGGAUCAGCAUGCCGCGGUGAAUACGUUCCCGGGCCUUGUACACACCGCCCGUCACACCACGAGAGUUUGUAACACCCGAAG